CAAAUUACAAGUUACCCCGGGAGGAAAGUUGAAAAGCACUCUGAAGAGAGAGUUAAAGAGGACGUGAAACCGGUAGGAUGGAAACGGAUAGAGCUAGCGAAGUCGCUCGCAUUCAGCCGAAGGCCCAUAGUUUCCGGUGGUUUGGUUGCCAAUCGUGCCAGGCUGCCGUGCGGCUGUGGGUUGAGGUGCAUUUGCGGGCGUAUGCGCUGAGACUGGUGGGGCCGCUGCUGGACCCGUGUUCUAGAGGCCGUCCUCUGGGCGGAACCUGGUCGCGGUGACGGCUGUUGGUCCUGCUUGUGUGUUUGUGCGGCCUACGGACCUUGCCCGCGCUGCUGUCUUCGGGCGGUGGUAUCGCAUGCGAUGCCUAGCUCGGGGGCUGUGGUUCGGUCCGGUGUUCCCGCGCAGCAUCUCGGUGUAGAAGCUGGUCAUCUCUCCGACCCGUCUUGAAACACGGACCAAGGAGUUUAGCGUAUGCGCGAGUCAUUGGGUGCGAAAACCCAUAGGCGGAAUGAAAGUGAAGGCUCGGUUGCCGGGCUGACAUGCGAGUGCUAGGCUUCGGCCGCGCACGCAGCAUGGUCCCGUUCCGGUCGCUUGCGACGGAGCGGCGAUAGAGCGUAUGCGCUGAGACCCGAAAGAUGGUGAACUAUUCCUGAGCAGGACGAAGCCAGAGGAAACUCUGGUGGAAGUCCGAAGCGAUUCUGACGUGCAAAUCGAUCGUCUGACUUGGGUAUAGGGGCGAAAGACUAAUCGAACCAUC
Molecule: ribosomal RNA, 757 nt
Filed under: Hemicriconemoides strictathecatus
Lineage: Eukaryota; Metazoa; Nematoda; Chromadorea; Rhabditida; Criconematidae
Description: partial large subunit ribosomal RNA
Rfam family: Eukaryotic large subunit ribosomal RNA
Source: RNAcentral